This is a long non-coding RNA of Oncorhynchus masou masou (cherry salmon), 1080 nucleotides long. RefSeq lists it as uncharacterized. The record is from RefSeq and is a predicted model, not a curated record. Lineage: Eukaryota; Metazoa; Chordata; Actinopteri; Salmoniformes; Salmonidae. The transcript is spliced from 4 exons.
UCGGUUGCCGUGGAUACAACAACAAACCCGUUAACUCCACUGCCAAACAGCCACCACAUCUAUUGGUCAAACAGAGCUAGACAGACAAGGUUCACCCAAAUUUGUAAGCCAGGCUGGGGAUACAAGCUACCUCAGUCCCUGCUUCUAAGUCCCUACGGUUAGGUGUUUGUAAGAUUUUUGUAUUUUUUUGCCGUGUGAGAUGUAGUUGUUGCAGAGAUGCCUAUAUCUUCUGGAGCUGAGGGUAGAGUAGAUGUGGGGAUAGAUACAUCCAUAGCGUGGACACCAGAUGGGGUGAAGAAAGAGGCAAAACCGGUCAAGAACUGUGAUUCCUAUUUAAGAAGGCAUCUGGAAAGCCAGGCAUGGAAGAAAGAGCACAAUAGCACCAUUUUGGGGCAGGAUACCAGUCAACACCGUGCUGGUCCAGAUGGAGAGAACAUGGACACUUUCUCACCUGGUGUGAGCAGAGAUCCUAACACGCAACAGAAGAAUGGAGGCAGUGACGAAGGCAAAGCCUCAGGAAAACAAACCAACGAGAAGAGCUCGAAAAAAUCCCAAACAUGUACCCUUCUUUAGAGACACAGCACUAUGAAUGGGAUGCCCAACACCACGUUUUACUUAGUGCCAUAUAAUCCCAUUGUAUGGAGUCUUUAUGAUCACCCCAAGUUCUCUUCCUUGCCUGUUACUGUGAUGAAUCAUAGAAACAACAUAGGGAGAGGGAGAAUAUAUGUUAAGGGGAAUGACUGUGUAACUGCAAUCCAUGCCUAUCACUUUGCCUACCGAACAAUCGCCUUUUGUUAUUAUUGUACUGUUUGGCUCCCUUUCGUAACCUAUGUACGACUCGUGUCAACAGUACCGGAAGCAAAACAUUUCAAAGCGUCAACUGACAAGCGUUUUUCUGAUUCUGACUACCUUGUUCUGGUAGCUUAGCUUGCUAAUGAACACACCACUAAAAAAGAGAGAACAGCUGUGGGCUCAUGUUUAUUUCCAAACGAUUAGCAGUAAUGAUUGAUCAACUGGCAGUAAGGAUUGAUCAACUGGCUCUGAAACGUUUCAGCAGCUCAUACAAUUAUAAACAACAGG